Molecule: non-coding RNA, 596 nt
Organism: Nomia melanderi (Alkali bee)
Lineage: Eukaryota; Metazoa; Arthropoda; Insecta; Hymenoptera; Halictidae
Source: RefSeq, a predicted model, not a curated record
UUUAAUAGGCAGAAAAUACGGUUACAAUAACUGGAUAUAGCGUAGACAUUACCAAUUCCGAUGUAAUCAAGUCUUGGAAUACUGAUGUUUCAGACAAUGUUCUUGCUUCAACUAUUAAUAUUAACCAGGAUUGUCCAGGUUCAGUGCAGGCUGAGAUAGCUAUUUACAAGGAAGGUGAUCUUGCUAGCACAAUAUCGCUACCAUAUAAGCAGCCAUUUAAAGAGUUCCAGGGUAGCAACAUUUGCGGAUCGAUUGACGGCCCUGAACCCGACGAUGAAUCAUGCUCCGCAGUUCAAGGUGAACAGGUAAUCUCAGGAUGCGACAUAAUAUCAUGGUUCAGCAAUAUGGCCGUUGGCAGUUACGAUGCUGAUUGCGACUUCCAAAUAGAGGGCAAUUCAAUAGCGGUCGCACAUCUUCACGUGAAAGUUGAAAGUGCAUAAGACGACAAAUGUUGUUCCUCAUUUACAGUAGUUAAAAGAUGUUGACAUACGUUGACAAAAGUUGUUGACAUACAAUCGAAAAUGUUAAUACAUUUUACGUAGUAUUACGAAGGUAGCUUGUUUUAUAUGCAAUAAAUAACAUGCAUAGCACAUAUU